CCGCUAAGAAUAAACCAAGCAAAUCACACAAUGGGGCAGCUAAGAAACAGGUGGUCAACACUUUGAAUGUGCUGCAAUAGAUAUUUUGAAGUUGCUCCCUAGCAGGGACACUAUCCGGAAUGACUCGGAAGGUGAAAUAUCCUGCUGCUUUUUAUAGAGAAAUACGAAGCCCAUGUAAGUCAUAGCUCUAUACAUUGACUUGCAGUGUAAAUUUAGUUAGCAGUGAGUCCCACACGGCAGUCGUCCUGAUCAGGUGAGGGAGAUAUAGAGUAACAUUACACAGUUAAUACAUGAAGUUGCCUGCCGCAAAUACAUUAGUUAGAAAUUGGUGUUGCUUAUAAGUAAUAAGUAAUGCACAGCUGGUGGCCCAAAUCAGCCUGGGAGGUCAGGGUGCGGUGCUGUUGAAAUGAACCUGACUCUGGUGAUGCAUGCCCAUCCAAAUCACUUCGAACACAGACGUCUCUGUGAUGGUUGAUGUUGUUCAUGACACUACGCGUGGACGUCAGGAAGAUACAAGUUCCAUCUUACUUGACGAGCUUCCCCCUACUGCUUGACUGCUACAACCUCUUCCUUAAAAACCAUCUUACUUGACGAGCUUCCCCCUGCUUCUUGACUGCUACAACCUCUUCCUUAAAAACCACGACGGCCUCGCACUCGUCAUCAACCGGCAACACCACCAGUUCCUGUAACCGGAGACCAACAGCUACUGGACUGACAACCAGUUCAUUGCACCACGAUACAAAGUACAAUCGGCUUCUUACCAACAUUACAUUACAUCACGGUUCUUGUAGGAACAUUGCAACGGACUAAUGUAACCUAAAGAUCAACAAAUAAAGGCAAACCAAACUUUUUGAAGGGCGACAAGUAAUAUAUUUCUGUAACAAAAAAAUGAAGAUACAUUACUUGAAGUUACCAUCUCGUUUUUUGAUAAGCAAGCAACAUGACCUGACUGAAGAGAGAAAUUGGCAAAACUAACCCGAGCAAUGUGGAGACACCAUAGGAGGAGGGUUGGUAGUGAUGGGUGUAGGGCUUCCCGGACCUCAACUCCACACGUGUUGUUAAUAAUUAUCAGCUAGGCUCUGGUUACUUUGUGCUACCUAAUGCGAAAUUGAGGCCCCAGAAAUGAUACACACAUCGCUAUCAACCCUCCGCCCAUGGCCGUCACUGGAUCACCAAGGCUAGGUUUGCCCACACCUCUUUUUAUUUAGUUCAUGUUGCUUAUCAUUGUUUGUCUUAUUUUUAUUUAUUACUGCCAAAUAUAUUUGUUAAUAUAGUUCAAUAAACUUAUCAUCGUGCAUGGCACAAUAAUAAACUUAUCAUUGUGUGCAAACUUGAGCAUUGUUACCAUCUAAAAGAUUUGUUUUGCCUUUGUGUGAUAAUCUUUAGGCUACACUAGUCAACCGAGAUGUCGCUACAAAGACCAUGGUGCAAUGUAUGGUUUGUCUGGUAGGUAACAACUAAGAAGACACUGACGAUACUUUGUAAUAUGGUGAAAAUAACAAAGUGGCGGUCUCUGGUUACAGGACCCCAAACUCCAAACAAACAAGUUGUACUGUUUUGCUGAUUGAGGACGAGGGCUGCAAUCGAGGAAUAGGUCAUACUAGUCAUGUGGCAAGAGAAAUCACACUGCAAGUCUAGGGAGGGUGUGAAAAAGGGUUGACUCAUGUCGACAUCAUCCGUGGCAGGCACGAAAGAUGCAAAGGAGGCACAGGGGAGGGAGAGCAUGUGGGGGUUAGGCAAAGUAGGAUCUCCCACUAGAGAUCAUCAUCUAGCGGAGGCGCCAUGGGGGACUUUUGUGUUUUAUUCGUGGUUCCAGCAGACUGCCCUCACUUCACUCGGCUAAAAAGAUAUCGACGGUUAGGGCAAGAUGGGCCAAGCCUAAACCUGGGCGUACACCAAGCCGGGCCGGGCUUCGAGCCAGGCUUUGAAAAGCCCGAACCAAAAAUCUCAGGCCCAGGCCCGAGCCCGGCCAGAAAAUGAAAAACUCAGGCCGGAGCCCGGCCCAAACGGACUAAAAAGGGAAUUUCCGAGCCGGGCCAAGCCUCCGUGUAAAAUGGCGAUUUGUGCAAGCCCGAUCCCGGCCCGAACUGCUACCCGGGCUUGUAAACCCGCCCAGAACUGCAAGACUGGUCCAGCCCGGCCCAGGUUUUUCGGGCCAGGCUCGGGCCGGGUCACCGGGCCGGGCUGCCCAUGCCCAGAUUUAGCCAAGCCCAUAUACCACACUAGUUACACAUGAUCCUUGUUGACCAUGCCUUUUUUUUGUAAAAUGAUAACGAAAGCAUGAGUAAGCCCAAUCCAAGGCACACUACCAAAAGACAUACCAUCCACAUGAUCGUCAUAUUUGACACCACAAUAAAGAAAGUCCAUACAAACCCUUGAUACCCUAAUCCUAGUUCAUACAGACAAAACCUAAACCUAGUUUGCCGACAUGAUCGAUGCCAUGUUCAGUCGUCGUAGUUGAUUAGUGCCUGACAACGGACUUGCGCAGCGCACACGCGAGCUCAUGCUCCUUGGCAACCCUGAGCACCUUCUUUGACAUUCACCAGCGCGCGCUGAGCAGCACUAAGUUCAUCGACAGCUGCGCGAGACCUCAUGAAGCGAGGCAUGAUGCUUGCUCAUCGAGUACAUCAAAGCCAGCCCAUGGUCUCGCCCGUCGCUCCAGGAGGGCGAAGCAUGAUCCCACCCCUAGGUCAACCUCCAGGUGCACCGCGCAGCGUCCUCAUUGUUGCUGGAGCUAUAAAUCAUCACCACAACACGACUGGAGAGGCUCACAGACGUGGCCACCAUGGCUUCUACCCGCAUCAACGUGGCUGGAUCUGCCAGCCAUCUAUCUGCCCGAGACGAAGAAGAAGGAGAGGAGAGGAGCGAGAAAUUUCUCACCGAGAUGUCUAACCCUAGCAACGGAGGGGGUCGGAGGGCUAACCGAGCGGAGGGGAUCAGGUGGCUAAGCAGGGCGGAGGGGUAUUUAGGGUUAUUAGUUUAAACAUAUUUACUAUUUUUUAUCACGGUCAAGGUAAGCCAACACUGAUCAGCAAGACCUACAGUAGACACACACGGCAGUAACAAGUUACAAACACAAUGCUGCUGCUGUUGGUUUUAUUUUCUAGUGCAAUCAUCAAUUGCGUCAAAUCUGAGUGAGUAAUUCAGCGGUCUGCAGUCUGUACAAAAUCAAAAGGCACAGGCACCACAUAUAUUACUUACUCCAGAAAUCUGAAGGCAGUAACAAUGCAUAAUUGUUCCGACGAAUCCCACACAACCCUGAGGUCAGCAGCCACUAGUAGUUCACUACCAAAUGCAUAGCCGUCACACAAGUGCAGGUGCAGCGCAGAGGAAGAUUACGGCACGCUGUUUAACGGAGAGGCAGAGCGGUGUACCAUCCAUCACGAAUCGGCCGGACUUCAGGGGAAGGGCGGCAGCCGCAGCACGGCCUGCUCCGUCUCCACGGGGUCGGACCGCGAGAU
Molecule: long non-coding RNA, 3461 nt
Filed under: Hordeum vulgare
Lineage: Eukaryota; Viridiplantae; Streptophyta; Magnoliopsida; Poales; Poaceae
Description: long non-coding RNA (HVUL_LNC002713)
Source: RNAcentral